GUAUCUGUAGCGCAAUGGGUAGCGCGUUGGACUUCUUAUCCAAAGGUCGUGGAUUCGAAUCCCUCCUGAGAUG
This 73-nucleotide transfer RNA is filed under the name Trichonephila inaurata madagascariensis. It matches the Rfam family "tRNA". From Rfam's summary of the family: Transfer RNA (tRNA) molecules are approximately 80 nucleotides in length. Their secondary structure includes four short double-helical elements and three loops (D, anti-codon, and T loops). Further hydrogen bonds mediate the characteristic L-shaped molecular structure. tRNAs have two regions of fundamental functional importance: the anti-codon, which is responsible for specific mRNA codon recognition, and the 3' end, to which the tRNAs corresponding amino acid is attached (by aminoacyl-tRNA synthetases). tRNAs cope with the degeneracy of the genetic code in two manners: having more than one tRNA (with a specific anti-codon) for a particular amino acid; and 'wobble' base-pairing, i.e. permitting non-standard base-pairing at the 3rd anti-codon position. Lineage: Eukaryota; Metazoa; Arthropoda; Arachnida; Araneae; Nephilidae. The record is from Rfam by way of RNAcentral.